GAGAGAGAGAGAGAGAGAGAACAUAAAGAAGAAAAGAGAGAAAGACAAACAAAGAAAACAGCUGUUUAUGUCUUUCUUGUCUCAAGAACCUUUCUUUUCUUUACUGGGAGAGAAAAUGCAAGAAACGGAGAGAAAAUGAUAGAGAAGGAGAGAGGGUUAAACUAGUUUUUUUCUGCCCAGUAACAUGUCUGUGAAUGUGGC
This 201-nucleotide unclassified non-coding RNA is filed under the name Hevea brasiliensis (rubber tree). The record is from RNAcentral. Lineage: Eukaryota; Viridiplantae; Streptophyta; Magnoliopsida; Malpighiales; Euphorbiaceae.